RNAcentral lists this ribosomal RNA (594 nucleotides) under Triticum aestivum (bread wheat). RNAcentral describes it as "partial small subunit ribosomal RNA". The record is from RNAcentral. Lineage: Eukaryota; Viridiplantae; Streptophyta; Magnoliopsida; Poales; Poaceae.
AUGUCGGCAAUCCGCGCCGCUUAUCAGGACGAUGGUGCCCAGUAUUACCCUUACAACACACGAUUGGAGACCUGGGAGGAUCCCACUCCUGGAUCGUCGACGUCAACACAAACUCUUGAAGAAAUGACCGCUGCCUGCAUAGCAGCCACCAGGCUUAGGAAUAGCCUCCGGCCCAAGAGUCCAACCCGUGCGGAUCUGUGGAGACGCAAGCAAGAGCGUGAACGCAAGACCUUGGUUUCGGCGCUCAACGCCUACGCCAAGCAAAACAAUAUGCAGCCAGAUGAGCUGGAGUUUGUGGAAGUGAAAGGGAGGACUCAAAUUCUGGAACGCUCAACAGAAUAUCUGCACUUUAACUUUCUAGUGAAACAAAUGGAUGGCAUAUCAAAGUUAUUUUUUGCUGAGAUAAAUGCCUACUGUAGGGGGGAGAAGGAUGUUUAUCUAUGCACCCCUUUGGAACAGAGUGACUAUGGCCCUUGUUUCGGGUGCAGAGAUAGAGACCUUAAGCACCCCACUAGUGGUGCGUAUUUGGCCGGUCGCACGUAUCCACAUUACUGCUGCGAGGAGAUUGACAGUGAUGAUGAUGAUUAUAUGUAA